This 449-nucleotide ribosomal RNA is filed under the name uncultured bacterium. Its description in RNAcentral is "bacterial SSU rRNA". It matches the Rfam family "Bacterial small subunit ribosomal RNA", at positions 379 to 842 of the family's 1533-position model. The record is from RNAcentral.
AACCCUGAUGCAGCAAUGCCGCGUGAAGGAUGAAGGUUUUCGGAUUGUAAACUUCUUUUGUACGGGACGAAGAAAGUGACGGUACCGUAAGAAUAAGCCACGGCUAACUACGUGCCAGCAGCCGCGGUAAUACGUAGGUGGCAAGCGUUAUCCGGAUUUACUGGGUGUAAAGGGCGAGUAGGCGGGAUUGCAAGUCAGAUGUGAAAACUAUGGGCUCAACCGAUAGAGUGCAUUUGAAACUGCAGUUCUUGAGUGAUGGAGAGGCAGGCGGAAUUCCCGGUGUAGCGGUGGAAUGCGUAGAUAUCGGGAGGAACACCAGUGGCGAAGGCGGCCUGCUGGACAUUAACUGACGCUGAGGCGCGAAAGCGUGGGGAGCAAACAGGAUUAGAUACCCUGGUAGUCCACGCUGUAAACGAUGAUUACUAGGUGUGGGGGGACUGACCCCUUCC